UUAUAACAAAGAUAGUAGAGAAAGUUUUUCGCCAAAUGAAUGAGAGACUAGUGUAUCAGUUAUUGGUGAGCUAAAGGUUCGCUAUGUAUAUGACGCUUAACUGUGUCAGAAGAUGAUCAGUCCCAUGGAAGUAAGACACGGUUCAGAGUCGUUCGCGAGGCGGCAGUAUUGGACAUUGUUCGAUGAGGUAAAGCAGCAAGCAGCAACCCCGCGUGGAAGUAUUCGCGUUUCGGAGCGUAAACUCCUCUUCUUUGGGAAGAAAUGGUACGGCCCAAAGGAAUAAGCACUGGUUCAAUCCGUGCCAGCACCCGCGGUAAUAUGGAGCGUGCGAAAGUUUCUUUGAAUCACUGUGCGUAAAAGAAGCGUAGGCGGAUCAACAAGUAUCAGGUGAAAUAGGGCGGAUCCCCCAGACAGCUGUUGGGGAAAUUGGUAGUCUAGAUGAGGGAGAGGCAGAAAAAACUUUUGGUGUAGGGGUAAAAUCCGUAGAUAUCAAGGAGAAUACCCAUUGCGAAGACGAUCUCCUGGAAAUCAACGAACGUUAAUGCGGGAAAGGGGGGGGGGCAACCAGGAUUAUUAACCCUGGUAGUUCUCGCCCUCAUAGACGUAUAAAAGUUGUUGGUGUGCUAAUCAAGGCAGUAAUGCACCUAACGCAUUAAGUAUUCCCCCUGGGGAGUACGGUCGCAAGAUUAAAACUCACAGGAAGAGACGGGGGGGGGCACAAACAAUGGAGCAUGUGGUUUAUUUUGAAGAUACGCGAAGAACCUUACCUGGGCUUGAUAUCCACGGAAAUGUUAGAAAAUAGAGAGUGCUAG
RNAcentral lists this ribosomal RNA (812 nucleotides) under uncultured bacterium. RNAcentral's name for it is "bacterial SSU rRNA". It matches the Rfam family "Bacterial small subunit ribosomal RNA", at positions 187 to 1020 of the family's 1533-position model. The record is from RNAcentral.